AAAUUGAAGAGUUUGAUCAUGGCUCAGAUUGAACGCUGGCGGCAGGCCUAACACAUGCAAGUCGAACGGUAACAGGAAUCAGCUUGCUGAUUCGCUGACGAGUGGCGGACGGGUGAGUAAUGUCUGGGAAACUGCCUGAUGGAGGGGGAUAACUACUGGAAACGGUAGCUAAUACCGCAUAACG
This 184-nucleotide ribosomal RNA is filed under the name Escherichia coli. RNAcentral's name for it is "partial 16S ribosomal RNA". It matches the Rfam family "Bacterial small subunit ribosomal RNA", at positions 1 to 178 of the family's 1533-position model. The record is from RNAcentral. Lineage: Bacteria; Pseudomonadati; Pseudomonadota; Gammaproteobacteria; Enterobacterales; Enterobacteriaceae.